Molecule: transfer RNA, 77 nt
Filed under: Acidobacteria bacterium RIFCSPLOWO2_02_FULL_64_15
Lineage: Bacteria; Pseudomonadati; Acidobacteriota
Also listed under: 2 other names
Description: tRNA-Met
Rfam family: tRNA
About the family: Transfer RNA (tRNA) molecules are approximately 80 nucleotides in length.
Source: RNAcentral
GCCGGGGUAGCUCAGGUGGUUAGAGCGGGCGUCUCAUAAGCGCCAGGUCGGCGGUUCGAGUCCGCCCUCCGGCACCA